CAUGCAAGUCGACGAAGCACUUUGAACUGAUUCUUCGGAUGAAAUUCUUAGUGACUGAGUGGCGGACGGGUGAGUAACGCGUGGGUAACCUGCCUCAUACAGGGGGAUAACAGUUAGAAAUGGCUGCUAAUACCGCAUAAGCGCACGGUACUGCAUGGUACAGUGUGAAAAACUCCGGUGGUAUGAGAUGGACCCGCGUUGGAUUAGCUAGUUGGCAGGGUAACGGCCUACCAAGGCGACGAUCCAUAGCCGGCCUGAGAGGGUGGACGGCCACAUUGGGACUGAGACACGGCCCAGACUCCUACGGGAGGCAGCAGUGGGGAAUAUUGCACAAUGGGGGAAACCCUGAUGCAGCGACGCCGCGUGAGCGAAGAAGUAUUUCGGUAUGUAAAGCUCUAUCAGCAGGGAAGAAAAUGACGGUACCUGACUAAGAAGCCCCGGCUAACUACGUGCCAGCAGCCGCGGUAAUACGUAGGGGGCAAGCGUUAUCCGGAUUUACUGGGUGUAAAGGGAGCGUAGACGGAAUGGCAAGUCUGAUGUGAAAGGCCGGGGCUCAACCCCGGGACUGCAUUGGAAACUGUCAAUCUAGAGUACCGGAGGGGUAAGUG
This 608-nucleotide ribosomal RNA is filed under the name uncultured bacterium. Its description in RNAcentral is "bacterial SSU rRNA". It matches the Rfam family "Bacterial small subunit ribosomal RNA", at positions 54 to 663 of the family's 1533-position model. The record is from RNAcentral.